RNAcentral lists this ribosomal RNA (484 nucleotides) under uncultured bacterium. RNAcentral describes it as "partial 16S ribosomal RNA". It matches the Rfam family "Bacterial small subunit ribosomal RNA", at positions 28 to 523 of the family's 1533-position model. The record is from RNAcentral.
GAUGAACGCUGGCGGCGUGCUUAACACAUGCAAGUCGAACGGUGAAGCAGGAGCUUGCUCUUGUGGAUCAGUGGCGAACGGGUGAGUAACACGUGAGCAACCUGCCCCUGACUCUGGGAUAAGCGCUGGAAACGGCGUCUAAUACUGGAUAUGUGAUGUGACCGCAUGGUCUGCUUCUGGAAAGAAUUUCGGUUGGGGAUGGGCUCGCGGCCUGUCAGCUUGUUGGUGAGGUAAUGGCUCACCAAGGCGUCGACGGGUAGCCGGCCUGAGAGGGUGACCGGCCACACUGGGACUGAGACACGGCCCAGACUCCUACGGGAGGCAGCAGUGGGGAAUAUUGCACAAUGGGCGGAAGCCUGAUGCGGCAACGCCGCGUGAGGGAUGACGGCCUUCGGGUUGUAAACCUCUUUUAGCAGGGAAGAAGCGAAAGUGACGGUACCUGCAGAAAAAGCACCGGCUAACUACGUGCCAGCCGCCGCCGUAA